GAUGAACGCUGGCGGCGUGCUUAACACAUGCAAGUCGAACGAGGUAUCCGCAAGGGUAUCUAGUGGCGAAUGGGUGAGUAACACGUAGGGAUCUGCCCUCCAGUGGGAAUAACGCCGCGAAAGCGGUGCUAAUACCGCACGUGACCGCCUUCGGGCGGGGAAAGCUGGGCAACCGGCGCUGGAGGAGGGACCUGCGGCCCAUCAGCUAGUUGGUAGGGUAACGGCCUACCAAGGCGACGACGGGUAGGGGGCCUGAGAGGGUGGUCCCCCACACUGGCACUGACACACGGGCCAGACUCCUACGGGAGGCAGCAGUGAGGAAUAUUGCCCAAUGGACGCAAGUCUGAGGCAGCAACGCCGCGUGGAGGAUGAAGGUUUUCGGAUCGUAAACUCCUUUUAGGGGGAAGAGCAAGGACGGUACCCCCGGAAUCAGUCACGGCUAACUACGUGCCAGCCGCCGCGGUAAU
RNAcentral lists this ribosomal RNA (467 nucleotides) under uncultured bacterium. RNAcentral's name for it is "bacterial SSU rRNA". It matches the Rfam family "Bacterial small subunit ribosomal RNA", at positions 28 to 524 of the family's 1533-position model. The record is from RNAcentral.